ACGGGAGGCAGCAGUGAGGAAUAUUGGUCAAUGGGCGGAAGCCUGAACCAGCCAUGCCGCGUGAAGGAAUAAGGUCCUAUGGAUCGUAAACUUCUUUUGAGUGGGAGCAAUAAGGUCUACGAGUAGAUCGAUGAGAGUACCAUUCGAAUAAGCAUCGGCUAACUCCGUGCCAGCAGCCGCGGUAAUACGGAGGAUGCAAGCGUUAUCCGGAUUUAUUGGGUUUAAAGGGUGCGUAGGCUGUUGAUCAAGUCAGAGGUGAAAUGCCGCAGCUCAACUGUGGAAUUGCCUUUGAUACUGGUUGGCUUGAAUACUGUUGCCGUGGGAGGAAUGAGUAGUGUAGCGGUGAAAUGCAUAGAUAUUACUCAGAACACCGAUUGCGAAGGCAUCUCACGAAGCAGUCAUUGACGCUGAGGCACGAAAGCGUGGGGAUCAAACAGGAUUAGAUACCCUGGUA
This 454-nucleotide ribosomal RNA is filed under the name uncultured bacterium. Its description in RNAcentral is "partial 16S ribosomal RNA". It matches the Rfam family "Bacterial small subunit ribosomal RNA", at positions 341 to 792 of the family's 1533-position model. The record is from RNAcentral.